RNAcentral lists this ribosomal RNA (467 nucleotides) under uncultured bacterium. RNAcentral's name for it is "partial 16S ribosomal RNA". It matches the Rfam family "Bacterial small subunit ribosomal RNA", at positions 28 to 507 of the family's 1533-position model. The record is from RNAcentral.
GACGAACGCUGGCGGCGUGCUUAACACAUGCAAGUCGAACGGAAAGGCCCUGCUUUUGUGGGGUGCUCGAGUGGCGAACGGGUGAGUAACACGUGAGUACCUGCCCUUUACUUUGGGAUAACUUCAGGAAACUGGGGCUAAUACCGGAUAGGAGCUCCUGCUGCAUGGUGGGGGUUGGAAAGUUUCGGCGGUUGGGGAUGGACUCGCGGCUUAUCAGCUUGUUGGUGGGGUAGUGGCUUACCAAGGCUUUGACGGGUAGCCGGCCUGAGAGGGUGACCGGCCACAAUGGGACUGAGAUACGGCCCAGACUCCUACGGGAGGCAGCAGUGGGGAAUAUUGCACAGUGGGCGGAAGCCUGAGGCAGCGACGCCGCGUGCGGGAUGACGGCCUUCGGGUUGUAAACCGCUUUCGCCUGUGACGAAGCGUGAGUGACGGUAAUGGGUAAAGAAGCACCGGCUAACUACGUG